Molecule: long non-coding RNA, 1043 nt
Filed under: Ananas comosus (pineapple)
Lineage: Eukaryota; Viridiplantae; Streptophyta; Magnoliopsida; Poales; Bromeliaceae
Description: long non-coding RNA (ACOM_LNC039312)
Source: RNAcentral
GAAAUAUUAAAUCACAGAGUACUAAAGUGAGAAAGUGCGAAACCAUAGGGUACUAACUGGAUACACUUGAAACCACAAUGUACUAAAGUGAGAAAGUGCGAAACCACAGGGUACUAACUUGAUACACUUUAGACUACAAGGUACUAAAGUAAGAAAAUACGAAACCGCGGGGGUAUUUGAAGUUCCCCCUAUAUUUUAAUUAUUGCUAGGUUGGUAUACUAUCGAUAGCACGGAGGCCUCCGUGCUACCAAAUUAUUUUUAAUGAUGCGGCUUCAAAAUCGACGAUCGGCUCCAAUAGACUUGAUCUAUACUAUUAAAAAUAUUUGAAAAGUAAAUUUCAUAAUUUGUUGACAACAUUUCGCUAGUGAUCAAAAGGUCUCAAAAUUGACAAUUUUAAUGGUCGACGUGAUGCGUUUGUGAAUUUAACGGUGUAGAUCAAUCCAAAUCUGAUGAAAUUUUAAUAAAAAUUAUUUAAAGUAAGAUCAAUAUCUCUGUUUCACUAUUUAAAGUAAGAUCAGUACCUCUGAUCUUAAAUUCAAGUCUUUUUCAUCAUUUUUUAUGAGAUUUUUAUUUUCAGCCGUUCAUUUUUAGACUACUUGUUUGAUAGGUAAAUGAUGUCGAAAAAUUAUGAAAUUUAGUUUCCAAAUACUUUUAAUAGUAUAGAUUAAAUCUAAUGGAGCCGAUCGUCAAUUUGGAAGCCGCAUCAUUGAAAACAAUUUAGUAGCACGGAAGCCUCCGUACUACCAAUAGUAUACCAGCCUAGCUCUUUUAAUUAUAUAUAAUAAUAUAUAUUAUGUAUUUUAGUUAUAUAUACAGAGAGUUUAGGUUAUUGAGAAUAUUAAUUGGUCCACAAAACUAAACCAGCAAAAUUCUACUAUAAUUACUCUCUUUUCCUCUCUUUCACUUACUCACAGAAUCGCUUUCCCUAAAUUAUUUUUCUUAAUAUUAUAAUACCGUAUUUCAUGCAUUUAUUUUGUAUAUUAAACUAUUAUAUCAAAAUUUUGAUAAUAUUUUAUAAAAAAAUAAAUUAUAAAUUAUAUGAU